UUCUGGGUGAGUCCCCGAGCCGGAGGCGGGGUGGCCGCGCCCGCAGCCGGCGUUGUAGUUUUGGAGCCCGGGAAUGCCCUGGGAUGCGGGCGCGGGGCGCGCGCCUGGACCGCCGGGUUGGCCGCUGGCUCUCCGGGUCCCUCCUGGCCGCUCCCUCCAGAGAAGCUCACGUGGGGGCCGAGGUGCAUGCAGCUGCCGCCCGGACGUCCGUCUGACCCGCGUGGACGUCUGCAGAGUCCGUGAGCGCGAAAAUGAACCCAGAGGAGAACUGGUGAGAUCGCGUCCUCUCCGGACCCCGAUCGACAGAGGGAGAGAGUCAGACCCACAGAGCACCUGCCCGGCCGCUGAGUUCAGACCGACUGCACCUCGUGGAGGAGGAAAAAAUGUAGUUAUCGAAUCCAGUCAAGAGUCUGUGUCUCUGGAAUUAUCCACAACAUCCCAUCGGGGAAGGGUCCAGGUGGUCCACAGACGCAUGGCGAUCCAAGGGCCACGUAAAGGUAAGGAUCCGCGCCCGACUCCAGGCUCCGCGUGCAGACGUGUGUGUACUGCCUCAAC
Molecule: long non-coding RNA, 555 nt
Filed under: Bos mutus (wild yak)
Lineage: Eukaryota; Metazoa; Chordata; Mammalia; Artiodactyla; Bovidae
Description: lncRNA (ENSBMUG00000024850.1)
Source: RNAcentral